UUCCAGACUCCUACGGGAGGCAGCAGUGGGGAAUAUUGCGCAAUGGGCGAAAGCCUGACGCAGCGACGCCGCGUGAGGGAUGAAGGUCUUCGGAUCGUAAACCUCUGUCAGCAGGGAAGAACGGUCACUGUGCUAAUCAGCAGUGAAUUGACGGUACCUGCAAAGGAAGCACCGGCUAACUCCGUGCCAGCAGCCGCGGUAAUACGGAGGGUGCGAGCGUUAUCCGGAUUUACUGGGUGUAAAGGGAGCGUAGACGGAUGGAUAAGUCUGAAGUGAAAGCCCGCGGCUCAACUGCGGGACUGCUUUGGAAACUGUGCAUCUUGAGUACGGGAGGGGCAGGCGGAAUCCCUGGUGUAGCGGUGAAAUGCGUAGAUAUCAGGAGGAACACCGGCGGCGAAGGCGGCCUGCUGGACCGAAACUGACGUUGAGGCUCGAAAGCGUGGGGAGCGAACAGGAUUAGAUACCCCGGUACCG
RNAcentral lists this ribosomal RNA (474 nucleotides) under uncultured bacterium. RNAcentral's name for it is "bacterial SSU rRNA". It matches the Rfam family "Bacterial small subunit ribosomal RNA", at positions 329 to 793 of the family's 1533-position model. The record is from RNAcentral.